Molecule: ribosomal RNA, 497 nt
Filed under: uncultured bacterium
Lineage: Bacteria
Description: partial 16S ribosomal RNA
Rfam family: Bacterial small subunit ribosomal RNA
Source: RNAcentral
GAUGAACGCUGGCGGCGUGCCUAAUACAUGCAAGUCGAGCGAACGGACGAGAAGCUUGCUUCUCUGAUGUUAGCGGCGGACGGGUGAGUAACACGUGGAUAACCUACCUAUAAGACUGGGAUAACUUCGGGAAACCGGAGCUAAUACCGGAUGAUAUUUUGAACCGCAUGGUUCAAAAGUGAAAGACGGUCUUGCUGUCACUUAUAGAUGGAUCCGCGCUGCAUUAGCUAGUUGGUAAGGUAACGGCUUACCAAGGCAACGAUGCAUAGCCGACCUGAGAGGGUGAUCGGCCACACUGGAACUGAGACACGGUCCAGACUCCUACGGGAGGCAGCAGUAGGGAAUCUUCCGCAAUGGGCGAAAGCCUGACGGAGCAACGCCGCGUGAGUGAUGAAGGUCUUCGGAUCGUAAUACUCUGUUAUUAGGGAAGAACAUAUGUGUAAGUAACUGUGCACAUCUUGACGGUACCUAAUCAGAAAGCCACGGCUAACUACGUG